This 1372-nucleotide ribosomal RNA is filed under the name uncultured bacterium. RNAcentral describes it as "16S ribosomal RNA". It matches the Rfam family "Bacterial small subunit ribosomal RNA". The record is from RNAcentral.
AGAGUUUGAUCCUGGCUCAAGAUGAACGUUGGCGGUGUGCCUAAUACAUGCAAGUCGAACGGUGACUAUUUUGUAGCAAUACGAAUGAAAUCAUAGUGGCGAACGGGUGAGUAACGCGUUGGUGAUCUGCCUCGAAGUGUGGAAUAACUUCCCGAAAGGGUAGCUAAUACCGCAUACUCUCUCAAGGUUUAAAAAAUUGAGAGUAAAGGAUUUAUUCGCUUCGAGAGGAGCCUGCGUCCCAUCAGCUAGUUGGUAGGGUAAUAGCCUACCAAGGCAAUGACGGGUAGGGGACCUGAGAGGGUGGCCCCCCACAAUGGAACUGAAACACGGUCCAUACACCUACGGGUGGCAGCAGUAGGGAAUAUUAGAAAUGGGCGAAAGCCUGAUCUAGCAACACCGCGUGUGCGAUGAAGGCCUUCGGGUUGUAAAGCACUUUUUGGAGGGAAUAGGAAGGAAGGUACCUCCAGAAUAAGUCUCGGCUAACUACGUGCCAGCAGCCGCGGUAACACGUAGGAGGCAAACGUUAUCCGGAUUCACUGGGCGUAAAGCGCGUGUAGGUGGUUCUGUAAGUAGGGCGUGAAAGCUCCCGGCUCAACUGGGAGAGGCCGUACUAAACUGCAGAGCUAGAGGAUGGUAGAGGGAGGUGGAAUUCCAGGUGUAGUGGUGAAAUGCGCAGAUAUCUGGAGGAACACCAGUGGCGAAGGCGGCCUCCUGGACCAUUCCUGACACUCAGACGCGAAAGCUAGGGUAGCAAACGGAAGGAGAGACUCCGGUAGUCCUAGCCCUAAACGAGGCAGACUUGGGGGUGGGCGGGUUAAUUCACGGUCGGUGUCCAAGCUUACCGCGAUAAUUCUCCGCCUGAAGGAUUACGCCGCCAGGGUUAAACUCCAAAGGAAUGACGGGUUCCCCCCACAAGCAGCGGAGCGUGUGUUUUAAUUCGAUGCUCCGCGAAGACCCUACCCUGGGUUUGACAUAACAGUGGUAGAGAAGUGAAAACGGAUCGACCUUUCGGGGAGCUGUUACAGGUGUUGCAUGCCUGUCGUCAGCUCGUGUCGUGAGAUGUUCGGUUAAGUCCGCUAACGAGCGCAACCCGCGCUGUGUGUUGCAAGUGUCACACAGUACCGCCGGUAUUAAGUCGGAGGAAGGUGCGGAUGACGUCAAGUCAGCAUGACCUUUAUAUCCAGGGCUACACACACGCUACAAUGGUCAGAACAAUAGGUUGCCAAGCCGCAAGGCGGAGCCAAUCCUCCAAAUCUGGCCUCAGUUCAGAUUGCAGGCUGCAACUCGCCUGCAUGAAGUCGGAGUUGCUAGUAACCGCAGGUCAGCAUACUGCGGUGAAUACGUUCCCGGGGAUUGUACACACCGCCCGUCA